AUUGAACGCUGGCGGCAUGCCUUACACAUGCAAGUCGAACGGCAGCACGGGAGCAAUCCUGGUGGCGAGUGGCGAACGGGUGAGUAAUGUAUCGGAACGUGCCCAAUCGUGGGGGAUAACGCAGCGAAAGCUGUGCUAAUACCGCAUACGAUCUAUGGAUGAAAGCGGGGGAUCGCAAGACCUCGCGCGAUUGGAGCGGCCGAUAUCAGAUUAGGUAGUUGGUGGGGUAAAGGCCCACCAAGCCUGCGAUCUGUAGCUGGUCUGAGAGGACGAUCAGCCACACUGGGACUGAGACACGGCCCAGACUCCUACGGGAGGCAGCAGUGGGGAAUUUUGGACAAUGGGCGCAAGCCUGAUCCAGCAAUGCCGCGUGCAGGAUGAAGGCCUUCGGGUUGUAAACUGCUUUUGUACGAGACGAAAAGACUCGCUCUAAUACAGUGGGUACAUGACGGUAUCGUAAGAAUAAGCACCGGCUAACUACGUGCCAGCAGCCGCGGUAA
This 500-nucleotide ribosomal RNA is filed under the name uncultured bacterium. Its description in RNAcentral is "partial 16S ribosomal RNA". It matches the Rfam family "Bacterial small subunit ribosomal RNA", at positions 30 to 523 of the family's 1533-position model. The record is from RNAcentral.